ACCUCCUGAUGUCACCAUUCCUCUGAAGAGUGUGAGCUAUGUGUGAGUGGACAAAGCAGUGCCCCACUCCUGCAAAGGCAUGCUGAAAUAUGCACUUAAAGUGAUGCACUGCAAAUUGUCCCAUAAAUCUGAGUGUGCCUGUAAGUGUUUGUGGGCUUGGAGCCUAAAGGAACAUUCACCUACAACUUCCACUGCAUUAGGACUGAGCUGAGGAACCUCAUCUCUUCUACUGCUAGACCUGUUGAACGGACACCACUGGAGCCUCAAGAGAGAAAACUGUUCUUAUACAAACUGCACAGGAAGAACAUACAUAAAAUAAACAACAACAACAAAAAAAACCUGAAAGAGCAAUCAAAAUACAACAAUCAAGAGAAGAAAAAAACCAAAAUAGCCAAAAAAAUCAAUAUAACUUGAUUCUUAAGACUGAAAUUGCAUUUGUGACCUUAGAAGCUUGCAGAACCCCCAACAGCAGCAUCACCUCUACCCAGACUGCCUCACACCUAAGAAAGGACCAAGCACUACACAGAAAAGCAGCUGCAGUUUUUACCUGACAGCACAAAGGGAUUACAACCCACAAAUGCUUAGGGAAGGAAUGGACAACUCUAUAAAUAGUGGAUCUUGAUGGAAUGGGAAUUUGUACCAGCGAAAAUGCUGAGAUGAAAGAAAAGAAAGCUCAGGGGCCACAGAGAGUGAAGAGAGCCAAAUGCUGCCAUGAACCUUCCACUCUCCGCUUGGUGUGCAGCCACAUGGACACAAAUGGAGAUCAUGGAGCAGACCAUCAAAAAAACUCACAGUUUAUCCUGAAGAAACCUUCCACAGUAGGGAAUAAUACUGACUUUGCAAAGAUUGAGUAAAUCCAACAGCCUUUUGUCAACAGCAAACGGGUGCUUGAAGAAAACCUCCUACCAAAUGGAAGCUGUGUUGAUCCAAUACAGCCUGAAGCACCCCCAAAGCUGUGCUUGGUACUGGAGAUGUUUGCUGUGUCAAGGCACAGCCCAUUCAGAAUGUAACUUUUGCUAUCAAGCUAUUUGGAGUUAUGACUCAUGUAUCCCAUGGUCUCUGCCCCUGCCUCCACAACACUAAAUGGUCUCAAAAAUGUCACAAUCUCAUGCUCACAGAGGAAAAAAAAGAAACAAUGUAUUAACAAAGGGGCUCAGACUAUGCUUUCCAGAGGAGAGACAAACAAGGCAAAGCUAUAAGGAUGACCAAGAUGACAGCUAAAGCCCUUGCUGUAGGAAGCAGCAAACCAGGCUUCAAACACACAAAAAUGAACUCCAU
Molecule: long non-coding RNA, 1278 nt
Filed under: Parus major (Great Tit)
Lineage: Eukaryota; Metazoa; Chordata; Aves; Passeriformes; Paridae
Description: lncRNA (ENSPMJG00000001740.1)
Source: RNAcentral